This 1415-nucleotide long non-coding RNA is filed under the name Homo sapiens (human). RNAcentral describes it as "non-protein coding lnc-TNFAIP6-2:11". Lineage: Eukaryota; Metazoa; Chordata; Mammalia; Primates; Hominidae. The record is from RNAcentral.
AUUAGCACCCAAGCAGGACCUGCUGAACCUGGGGCCCUAUAGGAGAGCACUGAUGGCCCACCCCUGAUUGUGGCCCUGGUCUUCAUGUCUGCAUCAGCCUCAGCCAUCUCAAGACCACAACAGGAACAUAGCCAAGUCAGAGAAGGAAGACCAAAAGCACCAGGGCCCUUCAUAUUAUUAAGCUGCUAAAUUAACUAAUCUUGGAAACUUCUAGACUCUACAAUUCUUGUUGUAUGAGGGUUUAACAAGUUCAAGAGAGAAGAUAUUGGCCAAAUACAACACAGAGGCUAAACACAACACCUAUGUUGAUUGUUUGGUGCAUAAGAAUUGAGAUGAUGGAAAGAGGUCACUGUGAGCUUCAGGAAUAGCUUGAGGCUAACUGAUAAAACAGGAAAUCAUCUACUACAUAAAAUUCUGGUUUCAUACUUGGCCAUUCCUGCUUAACGGAGCUAACAAAGAAAUUUAAGGAGUGGAUUGACAAUUAUUCUCUGGACUUUUUGGUAACCAAGAACUUCUAGCAACUAACCCUGGCAUGACCACCAGAAUCUGCAGGGCUGAGAGAAGAAAGAAAGGCAAAAGUGGAUGAAUGCAGCUGAAGGAUGCUGUGGAACUCCUAUCACAUUCCAAGUGCUGUGUUGAUAUCUGGAGAUAUAGACAAGAUCGAAGCAGAUGCAGUCUUUCACAUGAAUAUUUGAAUCAGGCAGUAUGUUCCCCAAAUUAGCAAAGUAUCUCCCAGAUUUUUUCUUUGAUGAUAUAUUUGAAAUCCUAAUGCUGAAAGUUAAAUUAUCAGGGUUUUAAAACUAGAAGCAGUCAUUAUCAGAAUUUUAUAUACUAUUUAUUUUUAAGAACGUAAUUUGACUGUUUAAGUCUUAUUAUAAUUUUAAGUGAAGUACUUUGGGCAGUCAUAAAUAAAGUAAUGGGCAGGUAUUUAGUAGUUAAUGGAAUGGCUUCAAUAAUACAGUAAAAUUAAGAUAUUCAAACAAGCAGGAUGCAGGUGAUGGGUAUUGGCCUCAGCUUUAGAGACCAGAGGUUAAAUCUCAGUGCUGCCUGCCACAAAACGAUCCAUGUAAGUCAAUAAACAAUGCUUUUUAAAAUAUUAUUAUAAAGAUAUAGUGUGUGGAUCCCUCUCAAUUGUCCAUUCUUCCCUGUCACAAAAAUUUGCCUGCUUUUCGUUACCAUGUGAGAGGCAAAUGAAUUGAACUAAAUGGUUUCUAAUGCCCUGUCCACCUCUAAAAUUCUAUAGAACUGUGAUUUGAUUCCAAUGGGCCAUAUCAGGACUCGGCAUUAUUUUCAUCAGUGAACCAUUUCAUUAGAAAUUUAUUUUUCCAAAUGAUAUUAGUAAAUAUUGAAGGAGGCUUCUCCCACAGAGCUUCUUGUACAAAUUAAAACAGGGCAGUAGAAGGUUUUCAGGUUGG